RNAcentral lists this non-coding RNA (21 nucleotides) under Caenorhabditis elegans. The record is from RNAcentral. Lineage: Eukaryota; Metazoa; Nematoda; Chromadorea; Rhabditida; Rhabditidae.
UAGUUGCUUUAUAAAAAAGUA